ACCCAGUACAGAAAGGGAAGUGCAG
This 25-nucleotide non-coding RNA is filed under the name Rattus norvegicus (Norway rat). The record is from RNAcentral. Lineage: Eukaryota; Metazoa; Chordata; Mammalia; Rodentia; Muridae.